AUCGAUGGGUAGGGGUUCUGAGAGGAAGGUCCCCCACAUUGGAACUGAGACACGGUCCAAACUCCUACGGGAGGCAGCAGUGAGGAAUAUUGGUCAAUGGGCGGAAGCCUGAACCAGCCAAGUAGCGUGCAGGAAGACGGCCCUCCGGGUUGUAAACUGCUUUUAGUUGGGAAUAAAACGGGGCUCGUGAGCCCCCUUGCAUGUACCAUCAGAAAAAGGACCGGCUAAUUCCGUGCCAGCAGCCGCGGUAAUACGGAAGGUCCGGGCGUUAUCCGGAUUUAUUGGGUUUAAAGGGAGCGCAGGCGGACCUUUAAGUCAGCUGUGAAAUACGGCGGCUAAUGCGAACUGCAGUUGAUACUGGAGGUCUUGAGUGCACACAGGGAUGGUGGAAUUCAUGGUGUAGCGGUGAAAUGCUCAGAUAUCAUGAAGAACUCCGAUCGCGAAGGCAGGCAUCCGGGGUGCAACUGACGCUGAGGCUCGAAAGUGCGGGUAUCAAACAGGAUUAGAUACCCUGGUAGUCCGCACAGUAAACGAUGAAUACUCGCGGUUUGCGAUACAAUGUAAGCCGCCAAGCGAAAGCGUUAAGUAUUCCACCUGGGGAGUACGCCGGCAACGGUGAAACUCAAAGGAAUUGACGGGGGCCCGCACAAGCGGAGGAACAUGUGGUUUAAUUCGAUGAUACGCGAGGAACCUUACCCGGGCUUGAACUGCCAGCGACGGAUGCAGAGACGCAUCUUUCUUCGGACGCUGGCGGAGGUGCUGCAUGGUUGUCGUCAGCUCGUGCCGUGAGGUGUCGGCUUAAGUGCCAUAACGAGCGCAACCCUCAUCCUCGUUUGCCAUCAGGUGAUGCUGGGCACUCCGGGGGCACUGCCAUCGUAAGAUGUGAGGAAGGUGGGGAUGACGUCAAAUCAGCACGGCCCUUACGUCCGGGGCUACACACGUGUUACAAUGGGCGGUACAGAGGGCAGCCACUGCGCGAGCAGGAGCCAAUCCUCAAAGCCGUUCUCAGUUCGGACUGGAGUCUGCAACCCGACUCCACGAAGCUGGAUUCGCUAGUAAUCGCGCAUCAGCCAUGGCGCGGUGAAUACGUUCCCGGGCCUUGUACACACCGCCCGUCAAGCCAUGAAAGCCGGGAGCACUUGAAG
This 1145-nucleotide ribosomal RNA is filed under the name uncultured bacterium. RNAcentral's name for it is "bacterial SSU rRNA". It matches the Rfam family "Bacterial small subunit ribosomal RNA", at positions 275 to 1426 of the family's 1533-position model. The record is from RNAcentral.